UUUGUUGAAGCUGAUUUCUGUAUUUCGUAAAAUCCUUGAUGCGAAUGCGUUGAUCGAAUCAGGUGACGGUGAAACCCGCGGUGGCGGCGUCCUCCGGGCGGUCUGUGGUACCAAAUCCCUACGAUCAGUGCAGUCGUUGAGGAAAAGAACAUGUAACAGGAAAAAAAGAAGUAUUCGGAUGCAUAUUGGGAUUUACUGCCUUCAUUGAUGUGGAUGCAUGUUGCUUGAUCCUAAUCCUCAGGUACAAAUGGAUGCAUGUAGUUUUUUUUUUUGUUCUAACAUUGUGGGAUAUUCAAACCUCUGACAUUUUGGUCGAGAAUAUAGUACUAUGUUAGUUGACCUAUGCUCAUGUUGACAAUUGAUACAAAACACUACAAUGGUGUAAAGUCGUACAACUAGACUUUUAUUUAAAUUAAAUUCUUUUCUUACUGGUUUA
This is a long non-coding RNA of Cucurbita moschata (crookneck pumpkin), 436 nucleotides long. RefSeq lists it as uncharacterized. The transcript is spliced from 2 exons. Lineage: Eukaryota; Viridiplantae; Streptophyta; Magnoliopsida; Cucurbitales; Cucurbitaceae. The record is from RefSeq and is a predicted model, not a curated record.